This 229-nucleotide unclassified non-coding RNA is filed under the name plant metagenome. RNAcentral's name for it is "partial contains small subunit ribosomal RNA, internal transcribed spacer 1, and 5.8S ribosomal RNA". The record is from RNAcentral.
UCUCCGUAGGUGAACCUGCGGAGGGAUCAUUACAGAGUUCUCGCCCUCGCGGGUAGAUCUCCCACCCACUGUUAUCGUUGCUGUGUUGCUUUGGCGGGCCGCCGGGCCCCGCUCGGCCGCCGGCUCCGGCUGGCGCGCGCCCGCCAGAGGCCCAGCAAACUCUGAAUGUUAGUGUCGUCUGAGUACUAUAUAAUAGUUAAAACUUUCAACAACGGAUCUCUUGGUUCUG